GGAGAGGUGGCUGAGUGGUCGAAAGCACCGGUUUCGAAAACCGGCAUGCCGCAAGGUAUCGAGGGUUCGAAUCCCUCCCUCUCCG
Molecule: transfer RNA, 85 nt
Filed under: bacterium
Lineage: Bacteria
Description: tRNA-Ser
Rfam family: tRNA
About the family: Transfer RNA (tRNA) molecules are approximately 80 nucleotides in length. Their secondary structure includes four short double-helical elements and three loops (D, anti-codon, and T loops). Further hydrogen bonds mediate the characteristic L-shaped molecular structure. tRNAs have two regions of fundamental functional importance: the anti-codon, which is responsible for specific mRNA codon recognition, and the 3' end, to which the tRNAs corresponding amino acid is attached (by aminoacyl-tRNA synthetases). tRNAs cope with the degeneracy of the genetic code in two manners: having more than one tRNA (with a specific anti-codon) for a particular amino acid; and 'wobble' base-pairing, i.e. permitting non-standard base-pairing at the 3rd anti-codon position.
Source: RNAcentral